Molecule: ribosomal RNA, 253 nt
Filed under: uncultured bacterium
Lineage: Bacteria
Description: partial 16S ribosomal RNA
Rfam family: Bacterial small subunit ribosomal RNA
Source: RNAcentral
UACGAAGGGUGCAAGCGUUGUUCGGAUUUAUUGGGCGUAAAGCGCGCGCAGGCGGCUUGCUAAGUCAGAUGUGAAAUCUCGGGGCUCAACCCCGAAACUGCGUCUGAAACUGGUGAGCUAGAGUCUCGGAGGGGAAAACGGAAUUUCGCAUGUAGGGGUAAAAUCCGUAGAGAUGCGAAGGAACACCAGAGCCGAAGGGGGUUUUCUGGACGAGUACUGACGCUGAGGCGCGAAAGCGUGGGGAGCAAACAGG